Eutrema salsugineum is the source of this 88-nucleotide small nucleolar RNA. It matches the Rfam family "Small nucleolar RNA R20". From Rfam's summary of the family: snoR20 is a member of the C/D class of snoRNA which contain the C (UGAUGA) and D (CUGA) box motifs. Most of the members of the box C/D family function in directing site-specific 2'-O-methylation of substrate RNAs. The record is from Rfam. NCBI's taxonomy places the organism in Eukaryota, Viridiplantae, Streptophyta, Magnoliopsida, Brassicales, Brassicaceae.
GAUGGUGAUGGAUAUAAUCAAAUAUAACAUUUUAAAACAUCUUACAUGUGAACAAUAGUAGAAGACCAAUGAAUAUCAAAGAAGUUUU